Molecule: ribosomal RNA, 651 nt
Filed under: Salmonella bongori serovar 48:i:- str. 94-0708
Lineage: Bacteria; Pseudomonadati; Pseudomonadota; Gammaproteobacteria; Enterobacterales; Enterobacteriaceae
Description: partial 23S ribosomal RNA
Rfam family: Bacterial large subunit ribosomal RNA
Source: RNAcentral
ACCCUUUAAUGGCUGGUGUUCUAACGUGGGCCCCUUAUCGGGGUUGCGGACAGUGUCUGGUGGGUAGUUUGACUGGGGCGGUCUCCUCCCAAAGAGUAACGGAGGAGCACGAAGGUUGGCUAAUCCUGGUCGGACAUCAGGAGGUUAGUGCAAUGGCAUAAGCCAGCUUGACUGCGAGCGUGACGGCGCGAGCAGGUGCGAAAGCAGGUCAUAGUGAUCCGGUGGUUCUGAAUGGAAGGGCCAUCGCUCAACGGAUAAAAGGUACUCCGGGGAUAACAGGCUGAUACCGCCCAAGAGUUCAUAUCGACGGCGGUGUUUGGCACCUCGAUGUCGGCUCAUCACAUCCUGGGGCUGAAGUAGGUCCCAAGGGUAUGGCUGUUCGCCAUUUAAAGUGGUACGCGAGCUGGGUUUAGAACGUCGUGAGACAGUUCGGUCCCUAUCUGCCGUGGGCGCUGGAAGAUUGAGGGGGGCUGCUCCUAGUACGAGAGGACCGGAGUGGACGCAUCACUGGUGUUCGGGUUGUCAUGCCAAUGGCACUGCCCGGUAGCUAAAUGCGGAAGAGAUAAGUGCUGAAAGCAUCUAAGCACGAAACUUGCCCCGAGAUGAAUCUUCCCUGAGACUUUGAGUCUCCUGAAGGAACGUUGAAGACGA